RNAcentral lists this transfer-messenger RNA (335 nucleotides) under bacterium. It matches the Rfam family "transfer-messenger RNA". From Rfam's summary of the family: Bacterial tmRNA, also known as 10Sa RNA or SsrA, is named for its dual tRNA and mRNA-like properties. Its role is to liberate the mRNA from a stalled ribosome. RNAcentral also lists the same sequence under 1 other name. The record is from RNAcentral.
GGGGGUGCUAGGCUUUGACGAAAAUCAUGCUUGAGAAACUGCGAGCCGAGCUGAUGAACUCGUAAAACUCCUCAAAACUAAUAACUGCAAACAAAACUGCAGCACCAGCAUACGCUUACGCGUAAGCUAGUGACCCCCAAUAUAUAAUUGGGGCAUCGGACCUCAAGGCUCCAUAGAGGAUUCUCCGGUGUUAUACCUGGAGUUCGCCGCAGUAAUUCGGUCUCAAUAUCUGCGGUUAAAUCAAUGAGACCAACCAUUGUCUUCUAAAGACUACGCUCGUAGAAAGUUUCCCAAACACCUUUCGGACGCGAGUUCAAUUCUCGCCACCUCCACUA